Molecule: long non-coding RNA, 732 nt
Organism: Panicum virgatum (switchgrass)
Lineage: Eukaryota; Viridiplantae; Streptophyta; Magnoliopsida; Poales; Poaceae
Exons: 2
Source: RefSeq, a predicted model, not a curated record
UCAUUGGGUCCCACGUGUUAAAAAAUCCGAGAAAGUAGAAAAAUAAUCAUCCUUGAGGGGAACACAAUAAAAGAUACACCUCGCCGACUUGCAGGACCCUGAUGUCAGCCCCAACCCUUUUUUCUGAUCUGUGGGUCCCACGUGUAAGUCCCUUGGACAUAAACACGGUGUCUCACCUCGCGGCUUCCGUCUCUCCAUCUCCGCACGGCGUCAUCCGCGCCGCCAUCUCCUCCCACUUCCCCUCUCUUCGCCCAAGUCCGGCCAUCCGCGCCGCAAGUUAGGGCGAUUCUCGUCCUCUCCUUCUACCAAGGGGCCAUGUCCGACCGGGAUCCGCUCGCCCACCUCACGGCCAUCGACAUCCCGCCGCCCGUCGUCGUCGUCAUCCCGCCACCCCUACUCCACCACGCACCCGAGCCGCGGCACCUACUCGGAAACGCCGCCCGCACCUGAUGUGCCUGCAACAGGCAUCAAAGGAGGCGCCAGCCCUAGCAAGUACAAAGGAAAGGGAGCCUCUGCCACCAAGGUCAAGAAGGACAUUGAGCGACAUCUAGUGCAUGGACAGGGUGCCGUUUCUCCUUUCAAUGUUCCAGCAAAUAUAUGAUCUAUAAAUUUCUUGAAUCCUUUUUGUCACUCCUCUGCUUGUUGCGGCAAGCGCAUCCAAGACCUAUCAUUGCCCAAAGACAUGCUCCCCAAUCUCUUCAAUUAAAAUCACACACUAAUUAAAGAGAUCAA